Molecule: transfer RNA, 70 nt
Filed under: Dipodomys ordii (Ord's kangaroo rat)
Lineage: Eukaryota; Metazoa; Chordata; Mammalia; Rodentia; Heteromyidae
Rfam family: tRNA
About the family: Transfer RNA (tRNA) molecules are approximately 80 nucleotides in length. Their secondary structure includes four short double-helical elements and three loops (D, anti-codon, and T loops).
Source: Rfam by way of RNAcentral
GGGAAAGUGGCUCAGUGGUAGAGUGCUUGCCUUGCAUGCAUGAGGCCGUGGGUUCAAUUCCUCAGAACCA